This 403-nucleotide ribosomal RNA is filed under the name uncultured bacterium. RNAcentral's name for it is "partial 16S ribosomal RNA". It matches the Rfam family "Bacterial small subunit ribosomal RNA", at positions 28 to 526 of the family's 1533-position model. The record is from RNAcentral.
GACGAACGCUGGCGGCGUGCCUAAUACAUGCAAGUCGAACGCAGUGGGGACGGGUGAGUAAUACGUGGGUCAUCACCUAUCAGAGGGGAUAACACUUGGAAACAGGUGCUAAACCGAUACUGCUGGAUGGACCCUCGGUGCAUUAGCUAGUUGGUGAGGUAACGGCUCACCAUGGCCACGAUGCAUAGCCGACCGGAGAGGGGGAUCGGCCGCACUGGGACUAAGGGACGGCCCAGACGCCUACGGUAGGCAGCAGUGGGGAAGCUUCGGCAAGGGACGAAAGUCUGACCGACCAACGCCGCGAGAGUGAAGGAGGUUUUCGGAUCGUAAAACUCUGUUGUUAGAGAAGCGGUAUCUAACCAGAAAGCCACGGCUAACUACGUGCCAGCAGCCGCGGUAAUUC